Molecule: ribosomal RNA, 423 nt
Filed under: uncultured bacterium
Lineage: Bacteria
Description: bacterial SSU rRNA
Rfam family: Bacterial small subunit ribosomal RNA
Source: RNAcentral
AAGACCUUGCGCUUUUAGAGCGGCCGAUGCCUGAUUAGCUUGUUGGUAAGGUAAAGGCUUACCAAGGCUUCGAUCAGUAGCUGGUCUGAGAGGACGACCAGCCACACUGGGACUGAGACACGGCCCAGACUCCUACGGGAGGCAGCAGUGGGGAAUUUUGGACAAUGGGGGCAACCCUGAUCCAGCCAUGCCGCGUGAGUGAAGAAGGCCUUCGGGUUGUAAAGCUCUUUCAGCCGGAACGAAACGGUUACGGUUAAUACCCGUGACUAAUGACGGUACCGGAAGAAGAAGCACCGGCUAACUACGUGCCAGCAGCCGCGGUAAUACGUAGGGUGCGAGCGUUAAUCGGAAUUACUGGGCGUAAAGCGUGCGCAGGUGGUUUUGUAAGUCAGAUGUGAAAGCCCCGGGCUCAACCUGGGAACU